GGUACGUAGUUCGACUCCGUGGCUACGAGGACACGCUGGCGGACGUGCCUAAUACAUGCAAGUCGAGCGGACCGAACGAGAGCUUGCUCGUUGUUUGGUCAGCGGCGGACGGGUGAGUAACACGUGGGCAACCUGCCCGCAAGACCGGGAUAACUCCGGGAAACCGGAGCUAAUACCGGAUAACACCAAAGACCCGCAUGGGUCUUUGGUUGAAAGGCGGCUUCGGCUGCCACUUGCGGAUGGGCCCGCGGCGCAUUAGCUAGUUGGUGAGGUAACGGCUCACCAAGGCGACGAUGCGUAGCCGGCCUGAGAGGGUGACCGGCCACACUGGGACUGAGACACGGCCCAGACUCCUACGGGAGGCAGCAGUAGGGAAUCUUCCGCAAUGGACGAAAGUCUGACGGAGCGACGCCGCGUGAGCGAAGAAGGCCUUCGGGGUCGUAAAGCUCUGUUGUGAGGGACGAAGGAGCGCCGUUUGAAUAAGGCGGCGCGGUGACGGUACCUCACGAGAAAGCCCCGGCUAACUACGUG
This 531-nucleotide ribosomal RNA is filed under the name uncultured Geobacillus sp. RNAcentral describes it as "bacterial SSU rRNA". It matches the Rfam family "Bacterial small subunit ribosomal RNA", at positions 1 to 507 of the family's 1533-position model. Lineage: Bacteria; Bacillati; Bacillota; Bacilli; Caryophanales; Anoxybacillaceae. The record is from RNAcentral.